Molecule: ribosomal RNA, 255 nt
Filed under: uncultured bacterium
Lineage: Bacteria
Description: partial 16S ribosomal RNA
Rfam family: Bacterial small subunit ribosomal RNA
Source: RNAcentral
UACGUAGGGCGCAAGCGUUAUCCGGAAUUAUUGGGCGUAAAGAGCUCGUAGGCGGUUUGUCGCGUCUGCCGUGAAAGUCCGGGGCUCAACUCCGGAUCUGCGGUGGGGUACGGGCAGACUAGAGUGAUGUAGGGGAGACUGGAAUUCCUGGUGUAGCGGUGAAAUGCGCAGAUAUCAGGAGGAACACCGGUGGCGAAGGCGGGUCUCUGGGCAGUAACUGACGCUGAGGAGCGAAAGCGUGGGGGAGCGAACAGG